CCUACGGUGGGCAGCAGUGAGGAAUAUUGGUCAAUGGCCGUAAGGCUGAACCAGCCAAGUCGCGUGAAGGAAGAAGGAUCUAUGGUUUGUAAACUUCUUUUAUAGGGGAAUAAAGGUAUCCUCGUGUGGAUAUUUGCAUGUACCCUAUGUAUAAGCAUCGGCUAAGUCCGUUCCAGCAGCCGAGGUAAUACGGUGGAUGCGAGCGUUAUCCGGAUUUAUUGGGUUUAAAGGGAGCGUAGGUUGUUUUUUAAGUCAGCUGUGAACGGUCGUGGCUCAACCAUAGAACUGCCGUGGAAACUGGAAGACUUGAGUGUGUGUGAGGUAGGCGGAAUUCGUGGUGUAGCGGUGAAAUGCAUAGAUAUCACGAAGAACUCCGAUUGCGAAGGCAGCUUACUAGGCCAUAACUGACACUGAAGCGCGAAAGCGUGGGGAUCAAACAGGAUUAGAUACCCGAGUAGUC
This 460-nucleotide ribosomal RNA is filed under the name uncultured bacterium. Its description in RNAcentral is "partial 16S ribosomal RNA". It matches the Rfam family "Bacterial small subunit ribosomal RNA", at positions 338 to 795 of the family's 1533-position model. The record is from RNAcentral.